UGCAAAAAUUCCAGUGUCCGCAAAUAAAUGACUGAGCGCACCAAAUGAAUUAGCUAUUCUGUCAAUAGGAUGAAAGCAAAGUAUGAGAGAUCACAAAUGGAAUAUAUUAUCAAGGAUCCGCCGAAUCGAUGCCGUAUUUAACAAACUAACUAAAAGUUUCUGACGUGUGGACUCCAUUCUCGAGUCAUACAUCACAAUCGCCGACAAAGCUUCUCCGAACCAGCACCCGCGUCGGAAUGAGCCAAGCCCUCAUCAACCCAAGUUCCUUUCAUCUGCAUUUUUCACAUCUUGCCCUUGAAGCCAUAGUAAGAACUGGCUAUUCUGUUCCUUAUACAUGAGAUAAUGCUGAGAUAUCUGUUCAUGAUACACAUCUUUUUUUUUUUCAGUUAUGAAAGCUAGUCUGGUGUUUGAAGUGGCUUUUAAGAGGGUUUCCACUAAAGGCCAGCGCCGUGUUAGCUCCAUAAAGUGCAAGAGGAUAAAACAAUCUUGUGUUAUAAAGGAAAUAACAAGAGUAGAUUAAAGGGCACAAAAUUAUUGGUUGACAACAGAUGAUCUCUGAAAGCUUCCAGGACACUAGGGCCCCAUUCAUCUAGUGGAUUACAAACAUGGUGCUCUUCCACCCUUGAGUUGCACCGUUUGAUAGUACAUCUGGAGCAAGGCACCUGGAGCAGGACGCUCUUGUGUGAUGGAGCCCUCCUUUUAACACCUAAUAAAUACAAGGUCCACCUUGUAACUUGCAUCCACAAGUGCUUCAGAACCAAUGAGGAUGCGACUGGACGGAUCCUGCCGGCCUAAAAGGUCUAAAAUCGUCUAAACAACAAGCUUACUCAACGAAUCCCAAUCAUGGUUAGUUAUGUAAAUGGAUAAAUAACUAUAAACAUAGCAAUUUAAUUCAAUGUAAUGUCAGCGAUAUGGACACAAUCUAAAAAAAUCUAAAAUGAAACCAGACUUUCCCCCAUAUGUAAUAAAAGGUACCAAUAUUGCCCAGGAGUAACCCAUACUAAUCAACAAUAAGAUGUUUGCUUUUAAACAGGUGAGCUACAUGCUGAUUGGUUGGUAUGGGUUACUGCUCCUGGACAAACUUAGUGCCUUUUAUUAAAUAAUCCCCCCUUUGAGUCGUAUCUAUUAACAACAAAUUUUUUAUUUGCUGUGUCUAUGUAUUUUCAUGGCAACAUUGCAUAAUGAAUUAUCAUUGUAACUACAUCAUUGCGAGCAUAAUGGGCUAACAUUUUUUGGUAGUGUAAUUACAGCAACAUAUUUCCCCCAUACCAUGGGAACUGGAAAC
Molecule: long non-coding RNA, 1285 nt
Organism: Xenopus laevis (African clawed frog)
Lineage: Eukaryota; Metazoa; Chordata; Amphibia; Anura; Pipidae
Exons: 4
Source: RefSeq, a predicted model, not a curated record